This 447-nucleotide ribosomal RNA is filed under the name uncultured bacterium. Its description in RNAcentral is "bacterial SSU rRNA". It matches the Rfam family "Bacterial small subunit ribosomal RNA", at positions 330 to 792 of the family's 1533-position model. The record is from RNAcentral.
CCCAGACUCCUACGGGAGGCAGCAGUGGGGAAUAUUGCACAAUGGGGGAAACCCUGAUGCAGCGACGCCGCGUGAGUGAGGAAGUAUUUCGGUAUGUAAAGCUCUAUCAGCAGGGAAGAAAAAAUGACGGUACCUGACUAAGAAGCACCGGCUAAAUACGUGCCAGCAGCCGCGGUAAUACGUAUGGUGCAAGCGUUAUCCGGAUUUACUGGGUGUAAAGGGAGCGCAGGCGGUACGGCAAGUCUGAUGUGAAAGCCCGGGGCUCAACCCCGGUACUGCAUUGGAAACUACCGGACUGGAGUGUCGGAGGGGUAAGUGGAAUUCCUAGUGUAGCGGUGAAAUGCGUAGAUAUUAGGAGGAACACCAGUGGCGAAGGCGGCUUACUGGACGAUCACUGACGCUGAGGCUCGAAAGUGUGGGGAGCAAACAGGAUUAGAUACCCGUGUA